UACGAAGGGGGCUAGCGUUGCUCGGAAUGACUGGGCGUAAAGGGCGCGUAGGCGGAUGGCACAGUCAGAUGUGAAAUUCCCGGGCUUAACCUGGGGGCUGCAUUUGAUACGUGUUGUCUAGAGUGAGGAAGAGGGUUGUGGAAUUCCCAGUGUAGAGGUGAAAUUCGUAGAUAUUGGGAAGAACACCGGUGGCGAAGGCGGCGACCUGGUCCUUGACUGACGCUGAGGCGCGAAAGCGUGGGGAGCAAACAGG
Molecule: ribosomal RNA, 253 nt
Filed under: uncultured bacterium
Lineage: Bacteria
Description: partial 16S ribosomal RNA
Rfam family: Bacterial small subunit ribosomal RNA
Source: RNAcentral